CGCCUCUUGAACUUUAUAAGAGGUCCAGCCUGCCCAGUGACUCUGUUCAACGGCCGCGGUAUCCUAACCGUGCGAAGGUAGCGUAAUCACUUGUUCUUUAAAUGCGGACUAGUAUGAAUGGCACUACGAGGGUUAUACUGUCUCCUUUUUCUAAUCAGUGAAACUAAUUUUCCCGUGAAGAAGCGAGGAUAUAACUAUAAGACGAGAAGACCCUAUGGAGCUUUAAACAACCCAGCAAUUACUUCUAAAAUUGUAAAUUUCAGAAUAUUCAUUUCUUAAGUAAUGUGUCUGCAAGUUUUUGGUUGGGGUGACCAUGGAGAAUAACAUAACCUCCAUAUUGAAUGAAUUCCCUUCUAAGCUGAAAAUUACCAAUUGAAGCAUCAACAUACUGACAUCUAUUGACCCAAUAUAUUUGAUCAACGAACCAAGUUACCCUAGGGAUAACAGCGCAAUCUACUUCAAGAGCCCCUAUCGACAAGUGGGUUUACGACCUCGAUGUUGGAUCAGGGUAUCCCAGUGGCGCAGCCGCUACUAAAGGUUCGUUUGUUCAACGAUUAAAACCCUACG
This 567-nucleotide ribosomal RNA is filed under the name Rhinella margaritifera (mitred toad). RNAcentral's name for it is "partial 16S ribosomal RNA". It matches the Rfam family "Bacterial large subunit ribosomal RNA", at positions 1819 to 2600 of the family's 2925-position model. Lineage: Eukaryota; Metazoa; Chordata; Amphibia; Anura; Bufonidae. The record is from RNAcentral.